UUUUCCUCAGGUAGGAAAGACUACACCUAAAAAUCGUAAAAUAAUAAAAACCACACCGAGAACUAAAGACAUUUCAAAGACCGAUAGCUGUUUCCCUCUAGGCUUUGCCUAGUCUUCUUUAGAAUAUUCUGCCAAAAAGUCAUCUAAUAGAGUUUUUCUCUUUUUUGCAUUUUUUGUUAGAUAAUCUGCAAGAGCUUCCAUUUCACUGUCGGUUUUAGUAUCUGUAUCCAAUUGCGAAAUGGCCAGAUUCUUGGCAAAAUAGAGAGAGUCCAGGCUUCACAUAAUCAACUUAAAUCAUAACUUUGAUGAUAUAAAUUGAAAAGAGCCAAACACAAUUCAUGACUGAACCUAGAAAUUAUCUAAGCUGCCUACGUACCCUUUUGAAAGGGAUCAAGUCAAAACGUAGUUCAUAGGAUCAACAAGUGUUUGAGAUUGGGUGCCGUGCACAGUUUAUACUCAUGCGGGCCAGGAGUAACAUGCAGUUUAGGCUCGUGCGUCAAGGAGCUGUCUUCAUACACUCCAUUUUGUUGCUUUUCUUCAUCUGACUCAUUUUUUGGCUUUUCUUGUCUUUUCUUUAUUUUUUUUGGUUCUUUUAUUGUCUUUCAUUUUUUGUUCUUUUCUAUUUUUUUUUUUUUUUUGGAACUAUAUACAUAUGUACAUGCUUCAACUUCUACCACCCUUCAAGGAUAGUAGUACUUCAAGAACUUUCCUUUGAGAGUGAUAACAAUUGGCCUCCUUGCAGCGAGGGCCAUGUCUCCAAUUUGAAAAGAGGGCGCUCGCACUGCUUUGUUGAAGGAUCUUGAAGGAAGAGCAUGAUAGUAUUCCGAUUUUUGCUGGACUUCUAGUCUCUCUUCAUCCAGAGUUUCAAGUUCUUUGGGG
RNAcentral lists this long non-coding RNA (879 nucleotides) under Salvia miltiorrhiza (redroot sage). RNAcentral's name for it is "long non-coding RNA (SMIL_LNC003745)". The record is from RNAcentral. Lineage: Eukaryota; Viridiplantae; Streptophyta; Magnoliopsida; Lamiales; Lamiaceae.